GGGUAGUUUGACUGGGGCGGUCUCCUCCUAAAGAGUAACGGAGGAGCACGAAGGUUGGCUAAUCCUGGUCGGACAUCAGGAGGUUAGUGCAAUGGCAUAAGCCAGCUUGACUGCGAGCGUGACGGCGCGAGCAGGUGCGAAAGCAGGUCAUAGUGAUCCGGUGGUUCUGAAUGGAAGGGCCAUCGCUCAACGGAUAAAAGGUACUCCGGGGAUAACAGGCUGAUACCGCCCAAGAGUUCAUAUCGACGGCGGUGUUUGGCACCUCGAUGUCGGCUCAUCACAUCCUGGGGCUGAAGUAGGUCCCAAGGGUAUGGCUGUUCGCCAUUUAAAGUGGUACGCGAGCUGGGUUUAGAACGUCGUGAGACAGUUCGGUCCCUAUCUGCCGUGGGCGCUGGAGAACUGAGGGGGGCUGCUCCUAGUACGAGAGGACCGGAGUGGACGCAUCACUGGUGUUCGGGUUGUCAUGCCAAUGGCACUGCCCGGUAGCUAAAUGCGGAAGAGAUAAGUGCUGAAAGCAUCUAAGCACGAAACUUGCCCCGAGAUGAGUUCUCCCUGAGACUUUAAGUCUCCUGAAGGAACGUUGAAGACGACGACGUUGAUAGGCCGGGUGUGUAAGCGCAGCGAUGCGUUGAGCUAA
This 637-nucleotide ribosomal RNA is filed under the name Escherichia coli. RNAcentral's name for it is "partial 23S ribosomal RNA". It matches the Rfam family "Bacterial large subunit ribosomal RNA", at positions 2263 to 2894 of the family's 2925-position model. The record is from RNAcentral. Lineage: Bacteria; Pseudomonadati; Pseudomonadota; Gammaproteobacteria; Enterobacterales; Enterobacteriaceae.